Molecule: ribosomal RNA, 472 nt
Filed under: uncultured bacterium
Lineage: Bacteria
Description: partial 16S ribosomal RNA
Rfam family: Bacterial small subunit ribosomal RNA
Source: RNAcentral
GACGAACGCUGGCGGCGUGCUUAACACAUGCAAGUCGAACGCUGAAGCUUGGUGCUUGCACUGGGUGGAUGAGUGGCGAACGGGUGAGUAAUACGUGAGUAACCUGCCCUUGACUCUGGGAUAAGCCUGGGAAACUGGGUCUAAUACUGGAUACGACAUGCCACUGCAUGGUGGUGUGUGGAAAGGGUUUUACUGGUUUUGGAUGGGCUCACGGCCUAUCAGCUUGUUGGUGGGGUAAUGGCCUACCAAGGCGACGACGGGUAGCCGGCCUGAGAGGGUGACCGGCCACACUGGGACUGAGACACGGCCCAGACUCCUACGGGAGGCAGCAGUGGGGAAUAUUGCACAAUGGGCGGAAGCCUGAUGCAGCGACGCCGCGUGGGGGAUGACGGCCUUCGGGUUGUAAACCACUUUCAGCACGGAAGAAGCGAGAGUGACGGUACGUGCAGAAGAAGCGCCGGCUAACUACGUG